This is a long non-coding RNA of Schistocerca gregaria, 1891 nucleotides long. RefSeq lists it as uncharacterized. The record is from RefSeq and is a predicted model, not a curated record. Lineage: Eukaryota; Metazoa; Arthropoda; Insecta; Orthoptera; Acrididae. The transcript has 3 exons.
GCGCCCUUGAGACGGAGCACUUGAGACGGAGCUAUAGGUCCGGCCUCGAAGCAGUAUCUCUACAGUUAUGGUGAAGGAGUGGAAUAAUGACCACAUAAAAAAACUUAUUGAAUUGUACCGCGAAAGACCAUGUUUGUGGAAAAUCACCCAUGAACAUUACCCCAACAAAAACAUAAAAAAUCGAGCGUACGCAGAGAUUCUUCAAAAACUUUUAGACGAUGUUCCAACUGUGGACCAGAUUAUAAUAAAAAUGAGGACACAAAAUUUGAGAUCCACGUACAGAAAGGAGCUAAGGAAGGUGAAGCCCUCUGAAAGACGCGGAGAAGGGGAAGAUGAAUGAUAUGAACCAUCAUUAUGAAGACCGAGAAUGCCCUCUCCCGAGGUUAUCAGAAGGGAAAUGAGGAGGGGCUUGUUGUUGUUGAUCCAAUGCCAGACAGCAGAAAUGAAGAAAGUAGAAAACAAAGGAGACAGAAAAACACAAUCGAACGAUGAGUAUUUCAUUAAAGUCAGUUUAUUUCUGAAAUGCACUACAAUAUGUCCAUAUACUACCUUUAUAUCUUCAACCAUGUAGCACCUUAAACUACAGAUAAUCUUGUAGGUAGCUUAUUCAUAAUUAACACAUGGGAAAGCGCAAAGUUAAGCUGUUGAUUUUAUUUAUCAUUUCAUCCUGCCAAGGCACUUUUCCUUAUACUGCUCUCAAUCGUUUACGGCGUUCACAACAAGUAACUGAGCUACGGUGGCGGGCUCUAGUGGUACAAAUUCAUUUUCAUUGGCAUCUCUCCACGAACCAGGCUCUAUUGCAUGAGUGACUGGAUUUUCUCGGUCAACAGCCUGAGGAUUGCAGUAGCCUGUGCUCGAACGCAUAAAAAAUUAUGUAAAGUGCACAAAGCAAUAAUAACAUACGGUAUUUAACCGUACGAGAAUCGAUGUUAAUGCUUGUGUAUAGGAGACGAAACUAGACACAGUCAGCUCAGAAGGAUUUCCUACAACAUUUCAUGCACGUGAUAAUCUGUAGAUGAAAACACUUCGUUCUUGGUUGAGAUUCUGCUGAGCCUAUGGUUUCAAAAUGUUGAUAUGCAAAGCAGAUACUGCGUCUUCGGAAAGUGCGAAUGUUAUUCCUUCGACCGUCUCUUCCCUGGUUGGUAACUUUAAUGUUCCCGAUUGUAAGCGUUCAUGAAACGUUGUAGCUUCAAAGACACUUCCUGGUUUUUCCACGUCAACAAAUACAAACUCCAGUCAGCGUUAACAACAGCCAUUAAAACGAUACUAUAAAACUUGUGAUAAUUGUAAUAUAACUCUGCACAAUUUCUUGGUUUCGCAAUUCUGAUGUGUUUCCCAACAAUGCAUCCCCACAGUUUAUCGUGUGCCAAUUCUUCGUUAACUUGUGUGCAUCUUUUUUCCAUUCGUUUUGGUCUGUAAUAUCUGCAACAGGAAAGGUAUUCAAAAGUAUGCUUUACAGUCUCAUACACGUCUUUCUUUCAGUUUUUCAGAGAACCACAGACGAAGAAGAAGCAAACUAGAGAGACAUUGAAAGACUUGGUCAUGUUCAUGAAAAUAUGCACUGCAGCCCUCAACAGUCAACCGACAAUUGCGGACUACUGUGCUGCACUUGGGAACUAUGUUUCGGUAAAAAUGCGUAAAAUGGACGAAAUUCUGCAAAUACUUGCUAAGGCGGUAAUACAAAAGGUCGUAACUCGGGUAAUGAACAAUCAACGCACAGAUAACACAGAUCUGUACGAAUCAACAGCUCCACAAGUGUUUGCGUUUCCUCACAUCCCGACUACUCACAAUUCAUCCAGUGCAUCUUAUGGUUCAUCCCAUACCGCACAACUGACUUCUUCGUCAAAAGAUAGCUACUCCAGUUCCGGGUGUCAGUGAAAAAGUUUACUUA